UGUAACGCAAUGGGUAGCGCGUUGGACUUCAAAUUCAAAGGUCUUGGGUUCGAAUCCCACCUAA
Molecule: transfer RNA, 64 nt
Filed under: Trichonephila clavata
Lineage: Eukaryota; Metazoa; Arthropoda; Arachnida; Araneae; Nephilidae
Description: tRNA-Sup
Rfam family: tRNA
About the family: Transfer RNA (tRNA) molecules are approximately 80 nucleotides in length. Their secondary structure includes four short double-helical elements and three loops (D, anti-codon, and T loops).
Source: RNAcentral